UCUCCAGACUCCUACGGGAGGCAGCAGUGGGGAAUAUUGGACAAUGGGGGGAACCCUGAUCCAGCGACGCCGCGUGAGUGAAGAAGUCUUUCGGUAUGUAAAGCUCUAUCAGCAGGGAAGAAAGAAAUGACGGUACCUGACUAAGAAGCCCCGGCUAACUACGUGCCAGCAGCCGCGGUAAUACGUAGGGGGCAAGCGUUAUCCGGAUUUACUGGGUGUAAAGGGAGCGUAGACGGCAGUGCAAGUCUGAAGUGAAAGGCGGGGGCCCAACCCCCGGACUGCUUUGGAAACUGUGCUGCUGGAGUGCAGGAGAGGCAAGUGGAAUUCCUAGUGUAGCGGUGAAAUGCGUAGAUAUUAGGAGGAACACCAGUGGCGAAGGCGGCUUACUGGACUGUAACUGACGUUGAGGCUCGAAAGCGUGGGGAGCAAACAGGAUUAGAUACCCCGGUA
RNAcentral lists this ribosomal RNA (450 nucleotides) under uncultured bacterium. Its description in RNAcentral is "bacterial SSU rRNA". It matches the Rfam family "Bacterial small subunit ribosomal RNA", at positions 328 to 792 of the family's 1533-position model. The record is from RNAcentral.